This 29-nucleotide non-coding RNA is filed under the name Rattus norvegicus (Norway rat). The record is from RNAcentral. Lineage: Eukaryota; Metazoa; Chordata; Mammalia; Rodentia; Muridae.
UGAAUUGCUCUGAUUGGCCUCAAACUACC